RNAcentral lists this ribosomal RNA (500 nucleotides) under uncultured bacterium. RNAcentral describes it as "partial 16S ribosomal RNA". It matches the Rfam family "Bacterial small subunit ribosomal RNA", at positions 29 to 523 of the family's 1533-position model. The record is from RNAcentral.
AUUGAACGCUGGCGGCAUGCCUUACACAUGCAAGUCGAACGGCAGCACGGGGGCAACCCUGGUGGCGAGUGGCGAACGGGUGAGUAAUACAUCGGAACGUGCCCAGUCGUGGGGGAUAACGUAGCGAAAGUUACGCUAAUACCGCAUACGAUCUCUGGAUGAAAGCGGGGGACCGAAAGGCCUCGCGCGAUUGGAGCGGCCGAUGGCAGAUGAGGUAGUUGGUGGGGUAAAAGCUUACCAAGCCUCCGAUCUGUAGCUGGUCUGAGAGGACGAUCAGCCACACUGGGACUGAGACACGGCCCAGACUCCUACGGGAGGCAGCAGUGGGGAAUUUUGGACAAUGGGCGCAAGCCUGAUCCAGCAAUGCCGCGUGCAGGACGAAGGCCUUCGGGUUGUAAACUGCUUUUGUACGGAGCGAAACGGCUUCCACUAAUACUGGGGGCUAAUGACGGUACCGUAAGAAUAAGCACCGGCUAACUACGUGCCAGCAGCCGCAGUAA